RNAcentral lists this ribosomal RNA (433 nucleotides) under uncultured bacterium. RNAcentral's name for it is "partial 16S ribosomal RNA". It matches the Rfam family "Bacterial small subunit ribosomal RNA", at positions 29 to 507 of the family's 1533-position model. The record is from RNAcentral.
AACGAACGCUGGCGGCAUGCCUAACACAUGCAAGUCGAACGAGACCUUCGGGUCUAGUGGCGCACGGGUGCGUAACGCGGGGGAACCUGCCCUUAGGUUCGGAAUAACUCCCCGAAAGGGGUGCUAAUACCGGAUAAUUUCUUCGGACCAAAGAUUUAUCGCCUUUGGAUGGGCCCGCGUUGGAUUAGCCAGUUGGUAGGGUAAAAGCAUACCAAGGCGACGAUCCAUAGCUGGUCUGAGAGGAUGAUCAGCCACACUGGGACUGAGACACGGCCCAGACUCCUACGGGAGGCAGGAGUGGGGAAUAUUGGACAAUGGGCGAUAGCCUGAUCCAGCAAUGCCGCGUGAGUGAUGAAGGCCUUAGGGUUGUAAAGCUCUUUUACCCGGGAUGAUAAUGACAGUACCGGGAGAAUAAGCUCCGGCUAACUCCGUG